UGGCACCUACGGGGGGCAGCAGUGAGGAAUAUUGGUCAAUGGGCGGAAGCCUGAACCAGCCAAGUCGCGUGAGGGAAUAAGGCCCUACGGGUUGUAAACCUCUUUUGUCAGGGAGCAAUUGGCGCUACGUGUAGCGUUAUCGAGAGUACCUGAAGAAAAAGCAUCGGCUAACUCCGUGCCAGCAGCCGCGGUAAUACGGAGGAUGCGAGCGUUAUCCGGAUUUAUUGGGUUUAAAGGGUGCGUAGGCGGAAUGCCAAGUCAGCGGUAAAAUCGCGGGGCUCAACCUCGCUCCGCCGUUGAAACUG
Molecule: ribosomal RNA, 305 nt
Filed under: uncultured bacterium
Lineage: Bacteria
Description: bacterial SSU rRNA
Rfam family: Bacterial small subunit ribosomal RNA
Source: RNAcentral